RNAcentral lists this unclassified non-coding RNA (254 nucleotides) under uncultured fungus. Its description in RNAcentral is "partial contains small subunit ribosomal RNA, internal transcribed spacer 1, and 5.8S ribosomal RNA". The stretch from base 1 to 73 matches the Rfam family "Eukaryotic small subunit ribosomal RNA", at positions 1759 to 1831 of the family's 1831-position model. Lineage: Eukaryota; Fungi. The record is from RNAcentral.
UCAAACUUGGUCAUUUAGAGGAAGUAAAAGUCGUAACAAGGUUUCCGUAGGUGAACCUGCGGAAGGAUCAUUCAUAAUAAAAGUGUUUUAUGGCGCUUUUAAAAUCAAUCCAUAUCCACCUUGUGUGUAAUGUUUUUUUUUAUCAUUAUUAUACCACGUUUUCCGAUAAGUCUGAAGCAUUUUUUUUAAAUAAAAAAAAAAAUACAACUUUCAACAACGGAUCUCUUGGCUCUCGCAUCGAUGAAGAACGCAGC